GCAUAUCAAUAAGCGGAGGAAAAGAAACCAACAGGGAUUGCCUUAGUAACGGCGAGUGAAGCGGCAAAAGCUCAAAUUUGAAAUCGGCCACCAGGUCGAGUUGUAAUUUGUAGAUUGUAUCUUGAGAGCGGAUUAAAGUCUGUUGGAACACAGCGCCUUAGAGGGUGACAGCCCCGUAAAAUCUAUUCUCAUUGUAAGAUACUUUCGAAGAGUCGAGUUGUUUGGGAAUGCAGCUCUAAGUGGGAGGUAAAUUCCUUCUAAAGCUAAAUAUUGACGAGAGACCGAUAGCGAACAAGUACUGUGAAGGAAAGAUGAAAAGCACUUUGAAAAGAGAGUGAAAAAGUACGUGAAAUUGUUAAAAGGGAAGGGUAUUGAAUCAGACUUGGUGCUGUUGUUCAACUGUGUUUCGGCAUAGUGUACUCAGCAGUACUAGGCCAAGGUGGGGUGUUUGGGAGUGAAAAAGAAGUAGGAACGUAACUCUUCGGAGUGUUAUAGCCUACUUUCAUAGCUCCUCAGGCGCCUCAGGACUGCGCUUCGGCAAGGACUUUGGCAUAAUGAUUCUAUACCGCCCGUCUUGAAACACGGACCA
Molecule: ribosomal RNA, 589 nt
Filed under: Geotrichum candidum
Lineage: Eukaryota; Fungi; Ascomycota; Dipodascomycetes; Dipodascales; Dipodascaceae
Description: eukaryotic LSU rRNA
Rfam family: Eukaryotic large subunit ribosomal RNA
Source: RNAcentral